GAAGGGAGAAUAAAUACAUAACUGGAGGAGGUUGGAUUUAAUAAUAGCUCAAGCAAAUUUUUGCAGUUAAUGGAAAAUGAAGGCCUGCUUAUAUGCAUAUACUCUAAAAAUCGAAUUGAGGUCUGGGACGUAGAGGGGAAGUGUCUGUGUAAAGUUUAUGACUUUGACAAGGAAAUCACCAUUGUAGCACUCAUAAAUAGAACCUCCAUGACUCAAACUAGGUAAGACUCUUUGUACAGAUUUUCUUUAUAGAUUCUUUGUAAGUAUUUUUUACGGAGGAAUUAUUAUAAAGCUAAAGUUCUUGAUAGGAUUCAACCCAAAGAUCUAUAGAGUAAAAAUUCUUGAUAGGUUGUAGAAACAGAGGAGGCAAUGGAUGAAUAUAUUUUAUUUUCUUGAAAACUACAUUUUAUUUGCUGCAAUUUUAUUUUGAUAUCUAAGAGUUGUUUUUAUUCAAUUCCGUCAAAGGUCUAUGAUAGUAGGCUAUAUUUAUGCAAUUUAGACACUAUUUACACUCUAAUUUAGCCGCACUUUAUUGAUAUUUGAAUGCUAAAAGAUAACAAAAUGCUCUAAUUAAGAAUUUGAUGCUUUGCAGGAGCUACUCCGAGCUAGGAGG
This 613-nucleotide long non-coding RNA is filed under the name Nicotiana tabacum (common tobacco). RNAcentral describes it as "long non-coding RNA (NTAB_LNC017987)". Lineage: Eukaryota; Viridiplantae; Streptophyta; Magnoliopsida; Solanales; Solanaceae. The record is from RNAcentral.